This 255-nucleotide long non-coding RNA is filed under the name Sorghum bicolor (sorghum). RNAcentral describes it as "long non-coding RNA (SBIC_LNC000630)". The record is from RNAcentral. Lineage: Eukaryota; Viridiplantae; Streptophyta; Magnoliopsida; Poales; Poaceae.
AGACUGACAUGUCAUGUGAAAUGAAAUGAAACAUGAAUAAAACAACCACUCUCAAUGAAGAGCUUCAUUUCAUAGUUUCAUAGGCAUUUAAUUUCAAGACUUAUAGAGAGUUGGUAAUCGUGCCAAGAGAGUUUCAUCUAGAUGAAACCCAUUUCUUCUCUCUCUACUUAAAUACAUUGCCAUGUCAUCAGAAAAGUCUAUGUAACAACCUAUUUAAUGCAAAUGAAACUCAUAUAAAACUCGAUUGAGAAUGGC